RNAcentral lists this ribosomal RNA (429 nucleotides) under Bacteroidota bacterium. Its description in RNAcentral is "Bacteroidetes bacterium partial 16S ribosomal RNA". It matches the Rfam family "Bacterial small subunit ribosomal RNA", at positions 355 to 776 of the family's 1533-position model. Lineage: Bacteria; Pseudomonadati; Bacteroidota. The record is from RNAcentral.
UAGGGAAUCUUCGGCAAUGGGGGGAACCCUGACCGAGCAACGCCGCGUGAGUGAAGAAGGUUUUCGGAUCGUAAAGCUCUGUUGUUAAGGAAGAACGAGUGUGAGAAUGGAAAGUUCAUGCUGUGACGGUACUUAACCAGAAAGGGACGGCUAACUACGUGCCAGCAGCCGCGGUAAUACGUAGGUCCCGAGCGUUGUCCGGAUUUAUUGGGCGUAAAGCGAGCGCAGGCGGUUAGAAAAGUCUGAAGUGAAAGGCAGUGGCUCAACCAUUGUAGGCUUUGGUAACUGUUUAACUUGAGUGCAGAAGGGGAGAGUGGAAUUCCAUGUGUAGCGGUGAAAUGCGUAGAUAUAUGGAGGAACACCAGUGGCGAAAGCGGCUCUCUGGUCUGUAACUGACGCUGAGGCUCGAAAGCGUGGGGAGCGAACAGG